Molecule: ribosomal RNA, 773 nt
Filed under: uncultured Neocallimastigales
Lineage: Eukaryota; Fungi; Neocallimastigomycota; Neocallimastigomycetes; Neocallimastigales
Description: partial large subunit ribosomal RNA
Rfam family: Eukaryotic large subunit ribosomal RNA
Source: RNAcentral
ACUAGAGUAGCACUCGCAUAUCAAUAAGCGGAGGAAAAGAAACUAACGAGGAUUCCCCUAGUAACGGCGAGUGAAGCGGGAAGAGCUCAAAUUUGAAAUCUUAAAGGGUUUCCCUUUACGAAUUGUAGUUUAAAGAAGUGUUUUCUGUUGAGGUUUUGGUAAAAGUUCUUUGGAAUAGGACAUCAUAGAGGGUGAGAAUCCCGUAUUUGACCUUUACUUUCAACUUUGUGAUACACUUUCAAAGAGUCGGAUUGUUUGGGAAUGCAGUCCAAAAUGGGUGGUAAAUUUCAUCUAAAGCUAAAUAUUGGCGAGAGACCGAUAGCGAACAAGUACCGUGAGGGAAAGAUGAAAAGAACUUUGAAAAGAGAGUUAAACAGUACGUGAAAUUGUCAAAAGGGAAGCGUUUGACACCAGUGUUGUUUUUCUGAAAAUCAAUUAAAGAACUGUUUAUGCUAAGCUGUUUAGACUUUAUCAGCUAUCUGUUUAGUUUUAGGCUUUUCUUUAAUGCACUUUUCAGUUAACAAGUCAACAUCAAUUUCUUUUGCUGUAAAAAAGCUUGAGGAAGGUGGCUUGAGAUUCGUCUUAAGUGUUUAUAGCCUCUUGCCUAUGCAGUCGGAGAGAUUGAGGUCUGCAGCGUAGAUCCUUCGGGGCUAAAUGCAUUUGUGCUAAGUUAUAGCAUUUUAUAGACAACUUGUUGACUAUGAUUUGUCUUGUAGCUUACUCGCUUAUGUUAUUUUACCUACGCUUAGGAUGUUGAACUACUGAGACAUAGA